AGAGGGUGCGAGCGUUAAUCGGAAUUACUGGGCGUAAAGGGCGCGUAGGUGGUUAUUUAAGUUAGCUGUGAAAUACCAGGGCUUAACCUUGGGUAGUCAGCUAAUACUGGAUAACUAGAGUACAGUAGAGGGUAGUGGAAUUUCCGGUGUAGCGGUGAAAUGCGUAGAUAUCGGAAGGAACAUCGGUGGCGAAGGCGGCUACCUGGACUGAUACUGACACUGAGGCGCGAAAGCAUGGGUAGCGAACAGGGAUUAGAUACCCUGGUAGUCCAUGCUGUAAACGAUGACAACUAGCUGUUGGAAGCUUUGAGCUUUCAGUAGCGCAGCUAACGCGAUAAGUUGUCCCGCCUGGGGAGUACGGCCGCAAGGCUA
This 372-nucleotide ribosomal RNA is filed under the name uncultured organism. RNAcentral's name for it is "partial 16S ribosomal RNA". It matches the Rfam family "Bacterial small subunit ribosomal RNA", at positions 527 to 896 of the family's 1533-position model. The record is from RNAcentral.